AGAGAUGUGUGAUGACGCAUAUCAAUAAGCGGAGGAAAAGAAACUAACAAGGAUUCCCUUAGUAACGGCGAGUGAAGCGGGAAGAGCUCAAAUUUGAAAUCUUCAAGGUUUUACCUUGACGAAUUGUAGUUUAAAGAAGUGUUUUCUGUUGGAGUUUUGGUAAAAGUUCUUUGGAAUAGGACAUCAUAGAGGGUGAGAAUCCCGUAUUUGACCAUUACUUUCCAGCUGUGUGAUACACUUUCAAAGAGUCGGAUUGUUUGGGAAUGCAGUCCAAAAUGGGUGGUAAAUUUCAUCUAAAGCUUAAUAUUGGCGAGAGACCGAUAGCGAACAAGUACCGUGAGGGAAAGAUGAAAAGAACUUUGAAAAGAGAGUUAAACAGUACGUGAAAUUGUCAGAAGGGAAGCGUUUGACACCAGUGUUGUUUUCUCGAAAAUCAAUUAAAAAUGGUGGGAUGUUGUGUUGUUAUUGACUUUAUCAGCUUUCUGCACUUUUUUUCCUAUCUUUUUUAAUGCACUUUUCGUUUAACAAGUCAACAUCAAUUUCUUUUGUUGUAAAAGAGUCAUUGGAAGGUGGCUUUCUUUUCGGAGAAAGUGUUUAUAGCCUUUGGCUUCUGCAAUCGGAGAGAUUGAGGUCUGCAGCGUAGAUCCUUCGGGGUUAGAUACACUUGUGCUAAGUUAUAGCCUUUCAUAGACAACUUGUUGACUAUGAUCAGUCAUGUAGCUUACUCGCUUAUGUCAUUUUACCUACGCUUAGGAUGUUGACGCAUGAGAUAUACGC
Molecule: ribosomal RNA, 777 nt
Filed under: uncultured Neocallimastigales
Lineage: Eukaryota; Fungi; Neocallimastigomycota; Neocallimastigomycetes; Neocallimastigales
Description: partial large subunit ribosomal RNA
Rfam family: Eukaryotic large subunit ribosomal RNA
Source: RNAcentral